Molecule: long non-coding RNA, 867 nt
Filed under: Monodelphis domestica (gray short-tailed opossum)
Lineage: Eukaryota; Metazoa; Chordata; Mammalia; Didelphimorphia; Didelphidae
Description: lncRNA (ENSMODG00000030931.2)
Source: RNAcentral
CCCAACUGUGAGUGGCAGUUGGGUCUUGUGACUAGCACUUCCUUCCUGCCAGGUGGUCUUGCUUCCUGGUGGUGGAGGAGAGAGGAGCUUGUUCAUCCCAGUCUGGUGUGGUCUGCCGCCUCUUCUUGGUUCAGCCCGAAGAUUCAGACCCAUUCAUCUCUGAAGAAAGUGACUCACAAGGACCCCCAGCCAGUGUGCUCAAGAGAAGUGGCAGCAGACUUGGCAAGGAUCCCCAGGCAGUGUCUGGUCAAAAGUGGGAGACAACAGUGGCAGUGGCAGCAGCAGCAACAGCAAUAGCAGUGGCAGGAGGAAGAGAAGGAACAAUGAGGAGGUCAGUCAAAGUAGAGAGAAUUAUAGCAGCAUAGUAUAUGGCACCUUCAUACCACCAUCCAACACAGUGGAAGGAGAAUUUGUCUCAGAAAAUCAAGGAGGCUAUCAAUAAAAGAUAUAAUGCUGAGAGUCCUGGGAAUUCAUUUAUUCAGCAGAAUCAUAAACCACCUGCAGAUGAAAGUUCAUCAAAGCAACUCAAUUCUUCAACACAGCAAUGGAGAAGACAUCAACAGAAGAAAUCCUAGUCUGUCAUCUAGAGAACUCUUAGGUGGACAGACUUGACCUCAGUCUGUAUCAGAGCCCAGUCUUCCAGAGGCCAGGAGUCACACAGGACAAGGACCAGUUUCUUCCAAAAUGCCAGGAGGUGACUGUUGUCCUCCCAUAACAAGCAUGCCUAUCCAAUCAAAAGGUGAGGUUGAUAUGAACCAAAAUGAAUUUUCAAACAGAAAAAGGGGUAUCAUUUAUAUCAAAUUCAAAUAUAAACAUAAAUCACAGUACUGGCAAUUUGUACCCAUUAUUCCCUUCUACCCUUUGAGG